Triticum aestivum (bread wheat) is the source of this 1768-nucleotide long non-coding RNA. RefSeq lists it as uncharacterized. The transcript has 3 exons. The record is from RefSeq and is a predicted model, not a curated record. Lineage: Eukaryota; Viridiplantae; Streptophyta; Magnoliopsida; Poales; Poaceae.
UCCUCUUUCUGUCUCUCCGUUCGUCGCAGCCCCCCUUCCGAUUCCCCAUCUUCUCACACACAUCGCCGCCACCAACCACCACAUCGCCUCCUCCACUUCUCGUCGCCAGCCCUUUCCCUCCUCUCACCUCGCUGCUCCGGCAGCUGCCAGAUCCGCCGCAACCCCCACCAAUCCAUCUCUCCCUCUCCUGCGAAUCGUCGCGCCGCCACCAACAUCCGCAGAUUCCGGCGACGUCCGCCACCGUGCAGCACGCUCGCGAGAUCGUCUCCGACGCCUCCACCCUCCAGCCCGGCUGGAUCCGCCGCUCCCAGCCCCUUGCGCUCGCACUCAACCCCUAGCCCAUGUCUAGGGUUUCGGCUGCGGUGGCGCAUCCGUCGCUUGCGCGUCUCGAGCUGCAGCACUCCGUCGUGCAUCGCGCCCCCUUGCACCUCUCUGCCUCCCCUAGCUCAGUGCGCUCGACUGCGUCGGGCUGGACGGCGGCGACCCCGACCCCCUCUUCCGCGUCUCCGGCGCAGCGGUGCGUCCUGUGGCAACCUCCUCUGUCACGCGAGACGGUGUCUGACCUGCAUUGCUUACAAAGGUCUCCUGUCUCCACUUGAUCAACGAAGGUUGAUGAUUACAACUGAACGACUGAAUCAGUCCACUGGCAGAAUUAAAAAUAGCUGAAGAACUAUGCUGGAGAUAAAAGAGCUGGGUGUGUCAAUUCUUUAGGACCUUCAUCAGCAACGACAAUCACUACUGCAUGCUCACACUACAGUGCAUAGUCAAUCAUAACUGCUUGAUAAUAGUUUAGAUAUACUUCCCUGAAAUGUUAUGUGAACCAUCGUUGGCUAUAUAGCUCUUCUGUUCAUCAUUACUUCCAGCUUGGUUGUUAUUUCUUGUGGUACUGGUAGAGAUCAGAUUGCCAUAACCCAUUAUAUAAGUUCUAGGUUUGAUUGAUUUCCUCUACCAAUUCUAAAUAUAAUAAUCAAAAUUUGCAUUUGUUUAAUGCAAGAUCUGUUAUCAAAAUUGAGAUUUAGUGGUUCAAGUUUAUUAAAUCAUGUUAAGUGCAGUGUAAAUUUGAAAGUGUCUCCACCUUGAACAUUUCAUUUAUUCUUGUUUUCUCACCAUUAAUAGGUAUUAUUUAUAAUCUACUUCCUCAAUUCUGAAAUAAUUGAAUUUGAUCAAGUUUAUAAGAAGCUAUAUCAACAUCUACGCCACAUAUUUAGUUUCAUUAAAUUCAGUGAAAAAUACAUUUAUGUAAAAAGAGGUCACUUGGCUGUUCUUGAUACUAUAGUAUACCUAUUAUGUCUAUUCUCACACGUAGAUAGGUGUAUUUUUUUACAUAAGAAAAAUGACAUCAAGUUAGUUCAUGAUCAUGGUUUAGGAAAAAAAAGGUGUGCACUAUGGUAAAAAGAAGUACAGUUUUGUUGCAAGUAGUUUUCCAGAAACAACAACUUCCCUUGUUCCCCUAUCCCUUUAUUAUUUGUCAACACCCCUUUGAUCUUUGAGAUGAUAAUUUUUCAAAGGUACCUACAGUUGCACAACAAGGUGGAGCUCCUCAGCUCUUUGGCAUGGAUUACUUGGUGGUCAGAGCCAAAAAUGAAGUUGGAGGUGUAGGCGUGAACUUGAUGAUUAAGAGGAUCUGUACAAACUUGUAUAUUUGUUGAUGUAAUCUGGUGUAAUUAUUACUGAGGGCAUGUGAUGUGAAGUUGGAUGUAUUAUUGGCCACGUUUUAAAAGGGCUUUACUCAGUGAAAUAAUUGAAUGGAAAUUUGUGAAAUGCUUCA